UCGCACUGUCGAAAUUUCUCCUACAGUGCGAAAUUUGAAAAAGUGUCAUGCGGAUCUUGGCCCAGUCUCACUUCUUUCUGCUCCUCCUCGUCGCAGCAACCGCCGAAAAUGGAAUCAGACUUUGCCUCGGCGCAGGAUAUCCGUGUUCACCUCUAAGGUUCCCUUGGGAAGAUGUACCUCGGUGCUGCGAAGGCUACUUUUGUGUCCCUGGAUUUUCAACAUGUUUAAAACGUUUUUUUUAGAAAUACAUUAAAGAGCUUUUAUUAGAAACAGUAGGAAACUAUGUAAACUGUUAGAUUCAGGAAAUUAUAUUUAUUGGCUUUUUAUCCCUGCACUAAAUCUGGCCUUGAAGAUCGCAGGAGGUUUUUUUAAUGUUUAAAUUAUAUAAGGCGUUCGCCAUUAGUUAUAAAAUAAAAUAAUAAAUUUUAUGUGUUUAA
Cimex lectularius (bed bug) is the source of this 437-nucleotide long non-coding RNA. RefSeq lists it as uncharacterized. The record is from RefSeq and is a predicted model, not a curated record. NCBI's taxonomy places the organism in Eukaryota, Metazoa, Arthropoda, Insecta, Hemiptera, Cimicidae. The transcript is spliced from 2 exons.